ACGGAGUGGGAUGCAAUCGCUGUUGCAAAAGCUCAGCUUCUGCAAGAGAGGAAAGUCCGGACUUCAUAGAAAAAGGUGCCAGCGAAAUGCUGGGGGCCGUAAGGCCACGGAAAGUGCAACAGAAAACAAGCCGCUGUCCUUUGGAUAGAUAGGAUGAAAAUGCUGGGUUUGAGACCUAGCCCCAUAGUAGUAAUACUUUGGUGGUGCAAACCCCACCUGAAGCAAGAAAAGAAUUCGAGCUGUUUUUCGCAACCGAACUCUUUCAAAAUCGCUUGAGGAUCUUAGCGAUAAGAUCCCUAGAUGAAUGAUUGCAGCUUGCGGUUUGCAAGUGACAGAAUCCGGCUUAUUCCCCCUCCGGGAAU
This 362-nucleotide RNase P RNA is filed under the name Candidatus Neptunichlamydia sp. RNAcentral describes it as "RNase P RNA component class A". It matches the Rfam family "Bacterial RNase P class A". Rfam says of the family: Ribonuclease P (RNase P) is a ubiquitous endoribonuclease, found in archaea, bacteria and eukarya as well as chloroplasts and mitochondria. Its best characterised activity is the generation of mature 5'-ends of tRNAs by cleaving the 5'-leader elements of precursor-tRNAs. The record is from RNAcentral. Lineage: Bacteria; Pseudomonadati; Chlamydiota; Chlamydiia; Parachlamydiales; Simkaniaceae.